AGGUUUAUGCUCCUACAAAUGCACAUGUUUACAAGAACCCUGCAUACUCUUCCAGCCAGGGCUCUCCAGGGCACAGAAGAAUGGGGGAGGGCUUGGUCAUUUCCUAAAACAGUGUGUGGAUAAGCAAACAGCCACUCCUUGAGAAAGUCCCAGAAUAAGCAAACGGAUUUAAUGUUGUUCAAUCUUACUUUCUCCAAAUAAAUUUAACUCCAGGACUUUUAUUUUUUUCAUUUGCAACUCUAGUUAACAUUUCAAAGAACCUCUAGGGCAAAUCUUGACAUGAAGCCGUUCAGAACCCGCCCCUACCCCCCGAGUCUCACACAUUCGAUCGCCUCUCACCUUUGCCUAUGAAUCGAACUCAUUCUUCAAGGUCCUCUUGGAAUACCCCUCUUCCAGGAAGUUUGUACUGAUUCCUUUAGCUAGAAACAACCUUUUCUUGUAGGAAGCUUCAUGUUAGGGACUUUCUUGAGUGUCUUCAGAGCAGACCCUGGGUGGCAUGGUGGUUGAGACAUGAAUUUUGGAGUCAGAUGCAAGUUUGAGACCUGGUACAACCUCAGAAGAGUGGGAUGACCUUGGAGAAUGUUACUCAGCUUCUCUGAGCCUCAUCUGUGUUUCCUCUACUGCAAUAUAGGAUAAUAGUAGAACCCGUUUGCAAUGUUUUCACAUGAACAGCUCAGCAGAGUACAAAUCACAUAGUAAGCAUAUAAUGAGUGGCAGUUGCUACUAUUAUUAUUAUUAUUAUCACCACCAUUAGGGAUGUUAGUAUCUCUUUGUAGAAUUGAUUUCAGUCCACACCAGGACAUCACAGGGCCAUUUGGAGUGUGUCUGUAGCCAUAGAUGUGAACUUGAAGAUCUACUCAGGUCUAUCCCUGUCCAGGUGGGCGACUGGAUCUCUAUACCUUUAUAUGCAAAAUAUGUGCACUAGAAACACAGUGCAAAGUGGGUGCACUAGCCUCAUGAUGGCAUGGUGAGCAGGACGUAAAGGUCUCCUUCAUGAACAUGGAAGGGUUUGGCCCAGAUCCCCCACUCACACUGGCACUGUCUUCCACCUCUUGCCCACCCUGUCAUUCCCUUCCCCAAUGAGGUGUUCUACUUGGAUGGUCUGGGUGCAGGAGGAGACAUUUUUCCUCUUCAGUAAUGCUGUUGCAAAACCUUCUCUAUGCUCUUUUUCCUACACGGAAAAUCAACUUGGCAAUAUGUAGCUCACCUAAAGUGCCAGUACAUACUUGGCCAGUGGAUAGGCUGGCUGGGCAUCUCCGCUAAGUAAAUUUGGGCAUUUAAGACUGUUGCGAGUUGGGAACUAUGGGAAGGAGACUGUGAGUUGGAGCUCAGCAUGCAGGAUGUUUAUUAGGAAGCCUUUUGGAAACACCACCCAUGGAAGGGAGAGGAUGGAAACAGAACUGGGCAGAGGGAGAAUUUGAGCUGGAACAGAGUCCCAAAAUGAUCUUGGCCAAUGGCACUUGGCUAGCCAGAGUUUGAAGGGCUCUUCAGAGUCUGCCCAAGUUGGGGGUGAGGGCUAGGUGUGGGUCUCCCUGGGGAGUGAGCAAGACUUGGGUGUG
Molecule: long non-coding RNA, 1559 nt
Filed under: Homo sapiens (human)
Lineage: Eukaryota; Metazoa; Chordata; Mammalia; Primates; Hominidae
Description: HSALNT0002451
Source: RNAcentral